Molecule: long non-coding RNA, 530 nt
Filed under: Capsella rubella
Lineage: Eukaryota; Viridiplantae; Streptophyta; Magnoliopsida; Brassicales; Brassicaceae
Description: long non-coding RNA (CRUB_LNC004671)
Source: RNAcentral
ACAUAUUAAAGUUCACCAAAAAAAAAAAAAAUGGAGUUUAAUACAAGAGAGCACACUUUAUUUUAUUGUUGCCGUACGUCAUAAAACACAUAUACCACUCAUCAUUAUGAGUUGUACACUACUCACAAACACAUAGACCAUGAACACAUUUAUAAGUAAGAUACUUUUUAGCAAAACAAUAAAACAUGCAAGGGAAACGCGAUUUACAAUGACGACUCCAAAUCAAUUUGAUGUUGUAAGGAGCACCAACAUUUUCCAACUCUUUCACACUUCUCACUGCUUCCACUUCCUUAAUCGUCCCUCCCAACGUCAUGCCUGCAAAAUUUUAUAUAUCUUUUAUACAUCUUAUAUGUAGUUACUGGAAUUACAAAAAAAAAAAACCUAAUCUCCAAUGUAACAUGGAAAUCAUAUAAAUGCAUUUAGCUGGAAACACUCACUUAUUAAAGUGAAGAGAACGAGAACUACUACAAACACAUCACUUGUUUUCAUCGUCCUCAUUAUUAUUUUUAUUAAUUUGAUGCGAAUUAAUA